AGAGGAGUUGAUGAGCGGUAGAGGGUAGGUGCGGCGUUAGGGUUAGGUGCAAUAAAGGCUAGGAUUUUCUGAAAAUGUUUUAGUUUUGGGCUUGUUGGGCCUUUAGUUUUUUUUUCUUUUUGGGCUGUAAUUUUAUUGUUUUGGGUUAGGUCUGUUUUAGGGUAUUGGGUUUGGUUUAAGGUUUAGGUAAUUGGGUUUUUGGGCCCUAUUUUUAUUUGGUGCGGGCCCGAGCAAAUUGGGCUGUACAUCGGUCAUCUUCAACCUUCAAAAUUGUUGUAGAAUCUUUCUGCUUCCUU
RNAcentral lists this long non-coding RNA (296 nucleotides) under Gossypium raimondii (Peruvian cotton). Its description in RNAcentral is "long non-coding RNA (GRAI_LNC004378)". Lineage: Eukaryota; Viridiplantae; Streptophyta; Magnoliopsida; Malvales; Malvaceae. The record is from RNAcentral.